AUGCAAGGAAAAAGUGGAAGCAGAUUUGGAUGUGGUUCGAAGAAGAUGCAGGAGAUAGAAGAAAAAAAAGCUAGACAAAAAGCACUCAAAGCACAGGAUGAAAAAAAGGAUUCUGGAUAUGGAGGAGAAAAAGCAUAUAUGAUGGAAUUGGUACAUAAACAGCAAACCAUGAUUGCUAGAUGUGUGGAGAAAAUUGAAAGGUGGGAAGAACGGGAGAGAGAGAGAUGGAGGAGAUCACUGACAAGGAACUUAAAAAUAUGGAAGAGGAAAAUAAAAUUGAUGAAACAACACAUAUGUGGAGCCUGUGAACUAUGGUGCUAG
RNAcentral lists this ribosomal RNA (321 nucleotides) under Triticum aestivum (bread wheat). RNAcentral's name for it is "partial small subunit ribosomal RNA". The record is from RNAcentral. Lineage: Eukaryota; Viridiplantae; Streptophyta; Magnoliopsida; Poales; Poaceae.